GGAAGGGUUAAUGGCAGGGCUGGGCUCAGUUCUCCAAGCCCAGUCAGCAUAAAGGGCUGGGUUGUGAGUGGUUUUACUCAGGACAGCUGAGAGGAAGUGUUGGACUUGGGGGUUGGGGGCUUUCUGGACAGGAUCGGCUGAGCUGGGAUUUUGUUAAAUUUGGGAGGCCGGGCUGGAUUUUGACCCAGAGAGAGUCUGACAAGUCAGGCCAUCUGUUUUUGUUACACUCCUAUCUAGAGAUACAUCUGAACCCAGUUCCAGACGUUUAGCACUCAUCCGCCUCAAAUGAGAAGGAUGCUAAAAGGAGGAAGUGAUCUGACCCAGAGCUCCAGAGAAUGAAUCAAAGAGAACUGUCUCUCUUGGAACAAUCAUGCAGCUACUGUCUCAGACUGCUCUAGUCCUCAAAAAACAACCACAAAGUACUCCAGGAUUUUGAGUGGGGCAAAAGAACUCUGGAGCUUUGAAAGUUAUUUACUGUCCAACAGAAUUCACUAACUACGACUUCAACUAUUACUGGGUUCACAAAAAGCUGUGACACUGGGUCAGGAAGCCUUUCUGUGAGCAUCCUGCCAGUCACUGGCAAGCCCUGGAACAGCUGAUCUCUAACUCCAAACCAGAACCUAGCUGGACAGCGUGACCACUGAAAUGGAAGGCAACAGACAAUCCACCCCAAUGUCUGAUCAGUCCCAACCUUCCUAUGAGGAUACCUCCGGAUGUCUUCAGUUGUUCUAAACAAAAUAGAAGCGAUUUUAAUGGGCUAAAACAAAAAAAUAUAUGGAAGAUAAGGGUCCGACAAGGGAGAUGGUGGAGGGGAAAAGAAGUGACCUACAGACCAAGUCAAACAAAGGAGUCAUCAGGUAUGGGAACCUGAGGCACCGAAGGCUGCUCCUGGGGUGAGAACAAGGACAAGAGCCGCCCUUCC
Molecule: long non-coding RNA, 922 nt
Filed under: Monodelphis domestica (gray short-tailed opossum)
Lineage: Eukaryota; Metazoa; Chordata; Mammalia; Didelphimorphia; Didelphidae
Description: lncRNA (ENSMODG00000048082.1)
Source: RNAcentral